AAUCUCGUAGUUUAAAAAAAUAUAAAAUUGCAAAUUUUAAGUAGAUUAAGAUAAUCCGAAAUUU
RNAcentral lists this transfer RNA (64 nucleotides) under Mycterothrips gongshanensis. RNAcentral describes it as "tRNA-Cys". Lineage: Eukaryota; Metazoa; Arthropoda; Insecta; Thysanoptera; Thripidae. The record is from RNAcentral.